AUACGGAGGAUGCAAGCGUUAUCCGGAUUUAUUGGGUUUAAAGGGUGCGUAGGCGGUUUGCUAAGCGGGAGGUGAAAUGCCGGCGCUCAACGUCGGAAGUGCCUCCCGAACUGGUGGACUUGAAUGACUCUGCCGUGGGAGGAAUGUGUAGUGUAGCGGUGAAAUGCUUAGAGAUUACACAGAACACCGAUUGCGAAGGCAUCUCACGAAGGGUUGAUUGACGCUGAGGCACGAAAGCGUGGAGAACAAACAGUAUUAGAUACCCGUGUGGUCCACGCAGUAAGCGAUGAUGGCUAGGCGCUGGGCUUAUCAGUUCAGUGGCCAAGCGAAAGCGAUGAGCCAUCCGCCUGGGGAGUACGACCGCAAGGUUGAAACUUAAAGGAAUUGGCGGGG
RNAcentral lists this ribosomal RNA (393 nucleotides) under uncultured bacterium. RNAcentral describes it as "partial 16S ribosomal RNA". It matches the Rfam family "Bacterial small subunit ribosomal RNA", at positions 523 to 918 of the family's 1533-position model. The record is from RNAcentral.